RNAcentral lists this transfer RNA (76 nucleotides) under Helicobacter pylori. RNAcentral's name for it is "tRNA-Ala". It matches the Rfam family "tRNA". From Rfam's summary of the family: Transfer RNA (tRNA) molecules are approximately 80 nucleotides in length. RNAcentral also lists the same sequence under 124 other names. The record is from RNAcentral. Lineage: Bacteria; Pseudomonadati; Campylobacterota; Epsilonproteobacteria; Campylobacterales; Helicobacteraceae.
GGGGGCUUAGCUCAGAUGGGAGAGCGCCUGCUUUGCACGCAGGAGGUCAGCGGUUCGAUCCCGCUAGUCUCCACCA